GAUGAACGCUGGCGGCGUGCCUAAUACAUGCAAGUCGAGCGAAGCGGGGACGGGUGAGUAACACGUGGAUAAACUGCUUUAAGACUGGGGUAACUUCGGGGAACCGGAGCUAACACGGAUAAUUAUACAUGGAUGCGCGAUGCAUUAGCUAGUUGGUAAGGUAACGGCUUACAAAGGCAACGAUGCAUAUCCGACCUGAGAGGGUGAUCGGCCACACUGGAACUGAGACACUGUCCAGACUCCUACGGGAGGCAGCAGUAGGGAAUCUUCCGCAAUGGGCGAAAGCCUGACGGAGCAACGCCGCGUGAGUGAUGAAGGUCUUCGGAUCGUAAAACUCUUUUAUCAGGGAAGCGGUACCUAAUCAGAAAGCCACGGCUAACUCCGUGCCAGCAGCCGCGGUAAUCC
This 405-nucleotide ribosomal RNA is filed under the name uncultured bacterium. RNAcentral describes it as "partial 16S ribosomal RNA". It matches the Rfam family "Bacterial small subunit ribosomal RNA", at positions 28 to 526 of the family's 1533-position model. The record is from RNAcentral.